Long non-coding RNA from Apis mellifera (honey bee), 488 nucleotides. RefSeq lists it as uncharacterized. The transcript is spliced from 5 exons. Lineage: Eukaryota; Metazoa; Arthropoda; Insecta; Hymenoptera; Apidae. The record is from RefSeq and is a predicted model, not a curated record.
AUUUUGAUGUAUGGAAAUACAAUCCUUUAAUUUUCGCGCGGUUAAAUAAAUAAGGAACUAGUCGCUCUAGCCAAUUAGAAAGCUUCUAGAUGAUCGCACGAUGUAUGGCGUCAUUCUUCAGUUAGAAAUCAGCGUGAAAGGACGUAUCGCCGGUUCGUGAUUCCUACUAUGCAAUUAACGGUUGAUUGCGUCGAUAUAAUCUCGAAAUUAUGAUUUAUUGCAUGCACACGCCAUGAUAAUUUAUUACCAACGAUUUCCUCGUAUAUCAGAUUAUUAGCCGAUUGCUAGAUUGCUAAAUUUCGAAGGCGGGAAAAAUUCCAAUAUGGACGCCAAUAUUGCUUUUUCACGAAGACACGAGUCAGUGCUUCUCUCAAGAGCAUAACGUGAUCAUCCAUCACGCGAAGAGAUCAUUGUAUCAGAUGACUUCUCUGCGAUUAUUUAUGGAUGACGACAGUAUCAAUGGCAACGCAGAUUUUUCGCAUCUAAUG